CAGCAGCCGCGGUAAUUCCAGCUCCAAUAGCGUAUAUUAAAGUUGUUGCAGUUAAAAAGCUCGUAGUUGAAUUUCGGGACCAAUUUGUUGGUCGUGCCUCGGUACGUACUGGUAUUAUUGGUUUCUCCCUUCUGAAGAACCUUGAUGUCAUUAAUUUGGUGUCUUGGGGAAUCAGGACUGUUACUUUGAAAAAAUUAGAGUGUUUAAAGCAGGCAUACGCUUGAAUACAUUAGCAUGGAAUAAUGAAAUAGGACGUUUGAUUCUAUUUUGUUGGUUUCUAGGAUCGACGUAAUGAUUAAUAGGGAUAGUUGGGGGCAUUAGUAUUCAAUUGUCAGAGGUGAAAUUCUUGGAUUUAUUGAAGACUAACUACUGCGAAAGCAUUUGCCAAGGAUGUUUUCAUUAAUCAAGAACGAAAGUUAGGGGAUCGAAGACGAUCAGAUACCGUCGUAGUCUUAACCAUAAACUAUGCCGACUAGGGAUCGGAUGAUGUUAAUUAUUUAAUGACUC
Molecule: ribosomal RNA, 507 nt
Filed under: uncultured Glomus
Lineage: Eukaryota; Fungi; Glomeromycota; Glomeromycetes; Glomerales; Glomeraceae
Description: SSU rRNA
Rfam family: Eukaryotic small subunit ribosomal RNA
Source: RNAcentral